Long non-coding RNA from Orbicella faveolata, 679 nucleotides. NCBI's taxonomy places the organism in Eukaryota, Metazoa, Cnidaria, Anthozoa, Scleractinia, Merulinidae. The record is from RefSeq and is a predicted model, not a curated record.
UUGGGUUGUCGCUCACCGGAGGUGCGACUAUAUAAAAAACACUUUCCAAAUAAGGUACCAAGAGAUUUUCAAUUAAAGAAACUUAAUUUCCUUUACUUUAGAAAGCAACAUAACCAGAUUUCAAAAUCAGUCCACGUCUUCAACAGCGCCCAGUGCUACUCAACUUAGAAGCACGGAUACAAACAGCUUGUCUACGCUGGUCGUCGUCGUUAUAUCUGUUAGUACUGGCGUGACAGUUGGAUUCAUUGGACUAGCUGUUCCUUGCUACAUUUGGAGAAGACGGAUUCAGAGAAGCAAAAACAACAACAACAACGAAUUACAAAAGCAAAAAGACCCGUAUGAUGGUUGGGAGGUAAAGAGCGAUGACGUCACUAUAUCUGAAGAGCUUGGUCAGGGUGCCUUUGGAAAAGUGUACAGAGGAACCAUGAAAAUGCCUUCAUCAAAGAAGAAAAAUGUAAAAUCUACAACAGCUGUAGCGGUGAAGGUGCUACAAGACGAUCCUAGUCCUGAGCAGAAAAGCGAUUUCUUAGAUGAGAUUAAACUGAUGAAAGCAGUUGGUUCACACAAGAACAUCGUUAGUUUGAUUGGCUGUUGUACCAAGUCCACGCCAAAUUUCCUCAUCGUGGAGUUUGCAGCAAAAGGAGACUUGCUUUCUUAUCUGAGAGAACGAAGAAAAAAG